GUAAAAGCAAUAUUAUCCAACAUGAUAAUUUCAACCAGUACAUAGGACCACAAUCAACCACAACAUAUAAGCAAUAUUAUCCAACAUGAUAAUUUCAACCAGUACAUAGGACCAUCAUCAACCACGACAUACUGUUAGAGUACGUACACGUCUACAUUUUAUGAAAGCUAGAAACUUAAAGUCAUCUAUAGCCAACAAUUUUUAAUUGACCCUACUGGUCUACAUCCAGUCUAAAAGUACCGUCGGGGAUGCUAGCUAACAGAGAAGCUUCUUUUUUCAGAAAUAGAACACAUGUCCUGUUUCGAGAAAAUGGAAGUUAACACCACCAAGUAAAUCAAUCUUGAAAAAAUAAUAAAGUUUCGAGAUGACCCUACAUUAUCAAUUUACACAAAUGUAUGUCAUAUCUUUUCUUACAUAUUCAUAUUGGAGAAUAAAGUCAUCCAGGAAUAAACAAAAUGUUCAGAUUAUCAGUUUUCGUUAAUAUGAAACCUUAUGAAUCAUAUUUCCUCAAGUAUGUACGUCUCCCAGCCGCGCGUCAACACCUUUCUCAUGUUCAGUUUCGAAGCUUCGCCAUUCACCACGACACGGCCGAGCCGCCGCCAUCAAUUUCUUUGAAAACUUGGAUAGAUAGAUUAGAUAGAUAUACAGUGCACCAAAAUAGAAUAUAUUCAUAGGAAAAGUAAUGAAUACACCUGAUAUCCCAACUCCCAAGAAACUUUUGUGGUAAAAUAAAACUAACACAUACCAUGGCUAUCCAACAGUACAGAGUAGUCAGUUUAUCUAACAGCAGCAAAAGUGCACAACUUAUCAGUUUAAUACAUGAAAGAAUAUUUAAACUCCAACAAAACAUUUCAUAACCCCUCUUCUAACCCAUUUAGACAAGCUGUACUAAAUCGUACUAUAGCAACAACGACAAGGGAGCAUCAUUCAGCAGUAGCAACACACAUACCGAGGGCAUCAAUGCAGUUCACAUCUUGAGGGGAAUUCUCUGCUUAUUGCCCCUUCCUCCAGUUUGCAUGUGACAAAUUUCAAUGUAAAUUUUCCUAGAACUCUUGUAAAAAAGAGAGUGGCCCAAAUUAGAAUUUUAUCCCGAAAACUCUUAACUUUGCAUAAUAGAACAAAACUAAAAGUUUCAGAUCACAUCAUUAAAUAUCUUCAAGGAUAGAAAAAGAAAAGAAAAAAAGGAACAAUGUAGUCUGUUGAUUUUCUAAUUUCAUUGAUCAGCAAGAAUGCUAUUUCAUUUUACAACAAAAGAAAGCAGAUACAAGUAGCUAGAUACAUCAACACUAUAAAUGGACAAACUGAACUGAAGACUACCUUGUGGUCCUUCCAAAAUUCUUUCACAACCCAAACCAUGAGAUAAAGUACAUCAAGGCUCUUACAGAAGACUUGCAACUAAAUUAUUAGUAAUUAUAUGAGCAUCCCUUUUCAGAGAUUUAGUAAGGAGAAAGAAGAGCAGUGGUACCGCAUCCUUUCUCUGGUCUCCAGGUUUAAGUGGAAUGGCGUUGCGGUUGCCAUUGUUGGAUACCUCCUACGUUUGUGCUUCUGCUCGUCUGGUGCCUAGCUCAACUCUAGGUAGCUCAAAUCUACCGAAAAACAGCUCAACAGCGUCUCGUCUCCCUGCUUGAUUACCACAAUUCAGUUCGAAAGCAAAAUCAGGUCAAGAUCACCCUGCAUAGUAGGAAACAAUUGCAAAUUGAACAGAAUUCCAUUGAAACAUAAAUAGGUUAUGACUUCACCAAAGAAACAUUAGGAAGGGAAACAUGAAUGUUAUAUAUCUUGAGAUGAACCGCUUCAUCCAUGAAUAAACUCCAAUAUAUUAUUAUUGCUCGUAUCUCGCACUUAUUACAGAAAGAAAACAAGAAAGUACUAUGGUCUCGCAGGUAAAAAAUAUCAGCAAACAUUUCUCUAUUGCUAAUUACAAUGGCUAUAAAAUUAGUUAAUACGGAUUAACACUGAUAAAUAAUCUAGAAUGUACGGCGCAUCGUCCUUUCAUUUCCCCUGCCUGAUAAAAAAAUGAACCAAGCUUCUCUUCUUGUUAUAUAUGCCUUGGUGGAGCUCAAAGAGUCAUGUCUGUAUCAGGAAAGAAUAACAACUAAUACCACCGCUGAAGCAAUACCUUAAGAUAGGCACAGUAGCAGCCUGGGCAUCUGCAGGAGUUCCUUCUGCUUGGACUUUCUUCCAACUCAUGUACCCUUAGUCAGUCGUAGGCACUACCUACGCAAUUCUGAAUUUGCAUCACUCAUUUGAAUCUACCUUCACCAGUACCUCAAAAUCAUAAAUUUGUGAAUUCAUCACAUAUACAGUGCAGAAAACUAUCUAAUAAAAAACCAUAUUUGCUGCACCAUCAUGCCAUUGGGUUCUAGUAGUGCAACAGUACUGGUAGUCGCAUUAGUAGGCUCAGCGCAUGUUUGAUUUACGCCGUGUCAUUCACUUUGAACGGAAUAAUUUCUGUGCUGCAAGACGUACUUGUGAAUCAAUGUAUUGCUCACCGUACCCACAAUCCACAAUAAAAGAAGCUGGGAUCAGACACUUACUUUUGGCGUAUUAUAUUCAUCUCUAGAGUGGAGACACUGAUGUACCAUCUCAUAACUAAUGACAAC
Molecule: long non-coding RNA, 2603 nt
Filed under: Triticum aestivum (bread wheat)
Lineage: Eukaryota; Viridiplantae; Streptophyta; Magnoliopsida; Poales; Poaceae
Description: long non-coding RNA (TAES_LNC006018)
Source: RNAcentral